This 1508-nucleotide ribosomal RNA is filed under the name Lacticaseibacillus paracasei. Its description in RNAcentral is "bacterial SSU rRNA". It matches the Rfam family "Bacterial small subunit ribosomal RNA". The record is from RNAcentral. Lineage: Bacteria; Bacillati; Bacillota; Bacilli; Lactobacillales; Lactobacillaceae.
CUGGCUCAGGAUGAACGCCGGCGGCGUGCCUAAUACAUGCAAGUCGAACGAGUUCUCGUUGAUGAUUGGUGCUUGCACCGAGAUUCAACAUGGAACGAGUGGCGGACGGGUGAGUAACACGUGGGUAACCUGCCCUUAAGUGGGGGAUAACAUUUGGAAACAGAUGCUAAUACCGCAUAGAUCCAAGAACCGCAUGGUUCUUGGCUGAAAGAUGGCGUAAGCUAUCGCUUUUGGAUGGACCCGCGGCGUAUUAGCUAGUUGGUGAGGUAAUGGCUCACCAAGGCGAUGAUACGUAGCCGAACUGAGAGGUUGAUCGGCCACAUUGGGACUGAGACACGGCCCAAACUCCUACGGGAGGCAGCAGUAGGGAAUCUUCCACAAUGGACGCAAGUCUGAUGGAGCAACGCCGCGUGAGUGAAGAAGGCUUUCGGGUCGUAAAACUCUGUUGUUGGAGAAGAAUGGUCGGCAGAGUAACUGUUGUCGGCGUGACGGUAUCCAACCAGAAAGCCACGGCUAACUACGUGCCAGCAGCCGCGGUAAUACGUAGGUGGCAAGCGUUAUCCGGAUUUAUUGGGCGUAAAGCGAGCGCAGGCGGUUUUUUAAGUCUGAUGUGAAAGCCCUCGGCUUAACCGAGGAAGCGCAUCGGAAACUGGGAAACUUGAGAGCAGAAGAGGACAGUGGAACUCCAUGUGUAGCGGUGAAAUGCGUAGAUAUAUGGAAGAACACCAGUGGCGAAGGCGGCUGUCUGGUCUGUAACUGACGCUGAGGCUCGAAAGCAUGGGUAGCGAACAGGAUUAGAUACCCUGGUAGUCCAUGCCGUAAACGAUGAAUGCUAGGUGUUGGAGGGUUUCCGCCCUUCAGUGCCGCAGCUAACGCAUUAAGCAUUCCGCCUGGGGAGUACGACCGCAAGGUUGAAACUCAAAGGAAUUGACGGGGGCCCGCACAAGCGGUGGAGCAUGUGGUUUAAUUCGAAGCAACGCGAAGAACCUUACCAGGUCUUGACAUCUUUUGAUCACCUGAGAGAUCAGGUUUCCCCUUCGGGGGCAAAAUGACAGGUGGUGCAUGGUUGUCGUCAGCUCGUGUCGUGAGAUGUUGGGUUAAGUCCCGCAACGAGCGCAACCCUUAUGACUAGUUGCCAGCAUUUAGUUGGGCACUCUAGUAAGACUGCCGGUGACAAACCGGAGGAAGGUGGGGAUGACGUCAAAUCAUCAUGCCCCUUAUGACCUGGGCUACACACGUGCUACAAUGGAUGGUACAACGAGUUGCGAGACCGCGAGGUCAAGCUAAUCUCUUAAAGCCAUUCUCAGUUCGGACUGUAGGCUGCAACUCGCCUACACGAAGUCGGAAUCGCUAGUAAUCGCGGAUCAGCACGCCGCGGUGAAUACGUUCCCGGGCCUUGUACACACCGCCCGUCACACCAUGAGAGUUUGUAACACCCGAAGCCGGUGGCGUAACCCUUUUAGGGAGCGAGCCGUCUAAGGUGGGACAAAUGAUUAGGGUGAAGUCGU